RNAcentral lists this ribosomal RNA (558 nucleotides) under Neogloboquadrina pachyderma. Its description in RNAcentral is "SSU rRNA". It matches the Rfam family "Eukaryotic small subunit ribosomal RNA", at positions 1164 to 1469 of the family's 1831-position model. Lineage: Eukaryota; Foraminifera; Rotaliida; Globorotaliidae. The record is from RNAcentral.
GCACCACAAGAACGCGUGGAGCAUGUGGCUUAAUUUGACUCAACGCGGGAAAUCUUACCGGGUCCGGACACACUGAGGAUUGACAGGCAAUAUCUCGACUGUUUAAUAACCGUUUAUUAAAUAUAAACGGUUUAUUAUUAAACAGAUCGAGUGUUAAAUAUGCUAGUCCUUUCAUGAUUAUGUGAUAGGUGGUGCAUGGCCGUUCUUAGUCCGUGGAGUGAUCUGUCUGCUUAAUUGCGUUUCACUAAGGGCCCAUAAAUUCAAGGUAUGUUAGCAAUCGUCGCUCUAUGGACCCCUUAUUUCAGUUUAUUAAUAAACUGUUAUAAGCGCGCGUCUUGUUUAAAGAGUUUAAGACACUGCGCAUGCUGUUGGGCUCUGAAAGCAACGAACGUGACCGCAACGUCUUGUUGCCUUAAUCAAGUCGGCUGUUUAAUCUGUUUAAUUAAACAGACAGACAGCAGUCAUUAUAUGGCUUAUCCGAGGCUAUUUAAAACUAGACGAACCGCUGUUUCUUUUCUUAAACCAGAGGAAGGUUGCGGCAAUAACAGGUCUGUGAUG